GUUACUUUCAGAGAAAUUGGCAAGUGGGAUUUCAAGAUCUUUUUUGUAAACUUAUUAUCCUUGAAGGGUUGUGUUUAAUUUAAUCUGGGGGAUGACUGCAUGGUGACAUGAUAUGCACAUCAUAUAUAUAUAUAUUUAUAUUUUCACUACCAUGAAAAACUCAUUUUAUCUUCAUUUGAAAGCCACCAGAGCCAUUGUCUUUCUGCAUUUUCUUCUCUCUUCAAUUCCAGCCUUUUGUUUUACUGCUCAUCUGCCUCAGCCUCUCUCUCCUCCUCUUCGGGGCAUGUUAUUUGAGGAGAAAACCAGGCUGGGUUCAGAUCCACCAAGCUGCCACAACAAGUGCAAUUAUUGCCACCCAUGCGUGGCGGUUCAAGUGCCCACCAUUUCCAGCCACGAGCGGCGGGUCGAACCAGGCAUGACCCGAACCAUCCCCAUGAUGUUCUUUGACCCAUCUCAUCCAGUUUGGCGCGAGGAAGGAAAUGAUUGCCUGAUGUGGAUGGAGGACGUCACUUUCCGCCCUACUUUCCUACAAACCAAACACACCCUUAGUCCUUAGUGUGUUGUGUUGGUCCCUGAUCUGCAAAUUAGGUAGCGGUUUUUACACCUUCGAAUUUUACAUUUGCAGUCAUCUUCUUAAUUUUGUGUCAAAUGUGAAAAUGUUCUUACGAAGCUUCUAUUCCAGUUAGUUUGUA
Long non-coding RNA from Pyrus x bretschneideri (Chinese white pear), 692 nucleotides. RefSeq lists it as uncharacterized. The record is from RefSeq and is a predicted model, not a curated record. The transcript has 3 exons. Lineage: Eukaryota; Viridiplantae; Streptophyta; Magnoliopsida; Rosales; Rosaceae.